RNAcentral lists this ribosomal RNA (430 nucleotides) under uncultured bacterium. RNAcentral's name for it is "bacterial SSU rRNA". It matches the Rfam family "Bacterial small subunit ribosomal RNA", at positions 355 to 776 of the family's 1533-position model. The record is from RNAcentral.
UUAGGAAUCUUGCACAAUGGGCGAAAGCCUGAUGCAGCGACGCCGCGUGAGCGAAGAAGGCCUUCGGGUUGUAAAGCUCUGUCAUCCGGGACGAAACUAACGAGGGGGAAAGUUCCUCGUUAUUGACGGUACCGGGAGAGGAAGCACCGGCUAACUACGUGCCAGCAGCCGCGGUAAUACGUAGGGUGCGAGCGUUAAUCGGAAUUACUGGGCGUAAAGCGUGCGCAGGCGGUUCUAUAAGACAGAUGUGAAAUCCCCGGGCUUAACCUGGGAACUGCGUUUGUGACUGUAGGACUUGAGUGUGGCAGAGGGGGGUGGGAUUCCACGUGUAGCAGUGAAAUGCGUAGAGAUGUGGAGGAACACCGAUGGCGAAGGCAGCCCCCUGGGUCAACACUGACGCUCAUGCACGAAAGCGUGGGGAGCAAACAGG